CCUACGGGUGGCUGCAGUGAGGAAUAUUGGUCAAUGGGCGCGAGCCUGAACCAGCCCAGUCGCGUGAGGGAUGAAGGUUCUAUGGAUCGUAAACCGCUUUUAUAAGGGAAUAAAGUUUGGGACGUGUCCUAUUUUGUAUGUACCUUAUGAAUAAGGAUCGGCUAACUCCGUGCCAGCAGCCGCGGUAAUACGGAGGAUCCGAGCGUUAUCCGGAUUUAUUGGGUUUAAAGGGUGCGUAGGCGGCCUUUUAAGUCAGCGGUGAAAUUUUGUGGCUUAACCAUGAGAGUGCGGCGCGAACUGGAGACCUAGAGAGCGCGGAAGGCAGGCGGAAUUCGUGGUGUAGCGGUGAAAUGCUUAGAUAUCACAAAGAACCCCGAUUGCGAAGGCAGCCUGCCGAAGCGUUUCUGACGCUGAAGCUCGAAAGCGCGGGUAUCGAACAGGAUUAGAUACCCCGGUAGUC
RNAcentral lists this ribosomal RNA (460 nucleotides) under uncultured bacterium. RNAcentral's name for it is "partial 16S ribosomal RNA". It matches the Rfam family "Bacterial small subunit ribosomal RNA", at positions 338 to 795 of the family's 1533-position model. The record is from RNAcentral.